UGUCAUUAGGCCCUUUUUAUCUUUGGGAAGAAGAUGGAGAAGAGGAAGAAGACACGACUUUUGAGUAUAGCAGAAUAAAGAAUCACAAUAUAAAUGAGUAUUUGACUUACAACAGGACAAUUGGCUUCCCUCAUCCACUCCAAAUUACGGGGAUCAAUGAUCAAAUCAUCUACACAUCAAAGUCCAAAUGCAAGAUCAAAUCAUACCAGAUAAGAAAAGGAUAGUAGAGAUUCACCAAAGGUUUCAAUCCUGGUAUGUUUACCAUUGGUUCAGCCUCGAUGCAAAUAAUUCAUGAAAAGUUAAUUUACCAUACACUCAGACAUAUAAUUCAAUUAUAUAAAUCUCAUUCUCAAUGUACCAAAAGCUAGAGUAGAUUUUGAUUUGGGCAUAUGAUGUUAACAUGCAUCAAAGAAUUCUUAACCCUUCACAUGAUCUUUUAAUGGAGAUUACUAUAAAAUCAAGUACAAUUAAUUAAAAGAAAAUAAUUCUUUUGGGAAGUAUGACAGUAAUCAGCAGCAAGACAUUGGUCUGGAAAACCAAUCAGUUAACUAAGGAUUUCAAUUAUGAAAUGAAGUUCAGAACUUGCGUGGAAACUAUAAUAUCACUAAUACUCGAAUAAUCCUAAUGCUGAUGGUGAUAAAUUUCUGAAAAGACCAUAAGUAUUGGAUCUAUAUUCACUUUAAGAUUGAGUGGUUAAAGACGAGUAAAGUAUCAGGUCAUGGAGGAAUGCAAAAGAAGCCAUUACAAUUUACAUACUCCAUGAACUCUGAUGACAUGGAGUUCAGCGAUGCCAAGGCAAGGCAGCAAACUAUAGUUACCAAACAAAACAAUAUUUGAGGGAAUUUAAAUGUGGUCAUUGCACAAACUACUCAAAAUAUCACUGGAGAAGAAAAUGUGAACAAGCCUUCUGGACUUCAAGGCUUUGUAACAUUAACAGGUGAUCUCAACAGCUCAGGUUAAGAUAAAAAGCCUAAGCAUUAACAUUUAAUCUACCAAAUUAUUCAUAUGGUCAUAAAUGGAAGGAUUAGAACUGGACAUUCAAAAUGGCCCUUAUGUCAUGUGAUUUAUUUUUUCACCAAGCAUACUCCCGUAUGGCACUAGCAAUUCCCUUAAAUUGUAAAUAAUGCUAGUGAGCUUUCCCCUAUUACACCCGAGUAUGCAAGCAUACCAACAAAGUGUGCAAAAGUAUAAGAUAGCUAAAGGAAGAAGAGUGCACAAGAGAAUGACAAGUACAGGUCCUAUUGUGGAGCAAGCAACCAACAGAGGCUCAAACCCACAAAGUGAUGGGAAUUGAUGUAGGGAAAAGUCCACAGAGAUAAUGUCAGCUUUGGAUGGAAGGCUGGCAAAUUAGAAGCCACCAUGUCUGACUAGAGGGACAAAGUCAAAGACAUGGACCAAUGCUUGAAGGAGCUUGAGUCCAAGGGCUGGAUGAGAAUCUAAGGGACAAAUGCAGUGUGCACUGCAGUCAGCAUGCUAUCCAAGAGGGAAGUACCAUGAAGCUUUUUUUUGUUAGUUGUUGAAAAGCUCAAGAUUAAGCUUAAUAACACAGCAGAAAAGUUUAAAACAAUUAGAUUUCAACAAUAAGGGCUAAAAUAGGGUUAAUUGUGGUUGAAACCAAAAACAAAUAAUUAGAGUUUACAAACAACCUCUUGAUAAUAAAAAUUUAAAAAUUGCUAAUAUGUCUACAAAAAACCUUAUUUAUACUAUGUAUGAUAAAUCCUAUUCAAAAACAGAAAAUUAAUCCUAAUUAAUAAAGACUUAGCAGACAAGAAUCCUAAAUAAAGAAACAAACAAAAACUAAAUAAAAAACUAAGUAAAUCCAAAAUUGAAUAGAAAAGUAAAUAAAAUACAAAACUCAAUAGCACUUCAAAUGCUCCAGCCUCAAUCUCCCUGGGUUAGAGAAAAAAUUGACUCCGACAAAUAAGCUUGGAGAUACUCUACAUCAUGCUUUUAAAUAACGGCCAUUACGUAAAGUAACAGCCAUUAUUUAUUGGUUAACAAACAUAACCUCUUAAGAUUGCUUUUAACAACAAUGGUUGUUGCAUCUAAUUCCUCUAUUUCUAUCUAUCAUUCUCUUUUGCAAUAAGAAUCUCAUUCCUCUGUUUCUAUCUUUCUUUCUCUUUUGUGAGCUAUUGUCACUGCAUAUUACAAUUAUCCCAAAAUUACAUUCUCAAAUGUUAAACUCUCCAUAUUCCAAUUACUCUCCCACCACCAUUUCUUGACAAGACAAUGCAUGGUCUUUAAAUUGCCAAUAAUCCCACAUCAUCCUCAUGCAAGUUCAAAGAAAAUUAUUAAGUUCAAGUCAGCUAGAAAGUUUAAAUAACUUACACCACACUGAUCGCCAUUAAUAUUAUUGAAUAUAAUAAUUAAACAAAAAAAAAGCAUAUGCCAAAUAGUAUUCAAGAAUUUAUGGUGACUUACUAUAGCCAAACAUAGUUCCUCGUU
RNAcentral lists this unclassified non-coding RNA (2445 nucleotides) under Hevea brasiliensis (rubber tree). Lineage: Eukaryota; Viridiplantae; Streptophyta; Magnoliopsida; Malpighiales; Euphorbiaceae. The record is from RNAcentral.